Molecule: ribosomal RNA, 1286 nt
Filed under: Salmonella enterica subsp. enterica serovar Bovismorbificans
Lineage: Bacteria; Pseudomonadati; Pseudomonadota; Gammaproteobacteria; Enterobacterales; Enterobacteriaceae
Description: bacterial LSU rRNA
Rfam family: Bacterial large subunit ribosomal RNA
Source: RNAcentral
CUGAGGCGUGAUGACGAGGCACUACGGUGCUGAAGCAACAAAUGCCCUGCUUCCAGGAAAAGCCUCUAAGCAUCAGGUAACACGAAAUCGUACCCCAAACCGACACAGGUGGUCAGGUAGAGAAUACCAAGGCGCUUGAGAGAACUCGGGUGAAGGAACUAGGCAAAAUGGUGCCGUAACUUCGGGAGAAGGCACGCUGACACGUAGGUGAAGUGAUUUACUCAUGGAGCUGAAGUCAGUCGAAGAUACCAGCUGGCUGCAACUGUUUAUUAAAAACACAGCACUGUGCAAACACGAAAGUGGACGUAUACGGUGUGACGCCUGCCCGGUGCCGGAAGGUUAAUUGAUGGGGUCAGCGCAAGCGAAGCUCCUGAUCGAAGCCCCGGUAAACGGCGGCCGUAACUAUAACGGUCCUAAGGUAGCGAAAUUCCUUGUCGGGUAAGUUCCGACCUGCACGAAUGGCGUAAUGAUGGCCAGGCUGUCUCCACCCGAGACUCAGUGAAAUUGAACUCGCUGUGAAGAUGCAGUGUACCCGCGGCAAGACGGAAAGACCCCGUGAACCUUUACUAUAGCUUGACACUGAACAUUGAGCCUUGAUGUGUAGGAUAGGUGGGAGGCUUUGAAGUGUGGACGCCAGUCUGCAUGGAGCCGGCCUUGAAAUACCACCCUUUAAUGUUUGAUGUUCUAACGUGGACCCGUUACCCGGGUUGCGGACAGUGUCUGGUGGGUAGUUUGACUGGGGCGGUCUCCUCCUAAAGAGUAACGGAGGAGCACGAAGGUUGGCUAAUCCUGGUCGGACAUCAGGAGGUUAGUGCAAUGGCAUAAGCCAGCUUGACUGCGAGCGUGACGGCGCGAGCAGGUGCGAAAGCAGGUCAUAGUGAUCCGGUGGUUCUGAAUGGAAGGGCCAUCGCUCAACGGAUAAAAGGUACUCCGGGGAUAACAGGCUGAUACCGCCCAAGAGUUCAUAUCGACGGCGGUGUUUGGCACCUCGAUGUCGGCUCAUCACAUCCUGGGGCUGAAGUAGGUCCCAAGGGUAUGGCUGUUCGCCAUUUAAAGUGGUACGCGAGCUGGGUUUAGAACGUCGUGAGACAGUUCGGUCCCUAUCUGCCGUGGGCGCUGGAGAACUGAGGGGGGCUGCUCCUAGUACGAGAGGACCGGAGUGGACGCAUCACUGGUGUUCGGGUUGUCAUGCCAAUGGCACUGCCCGGUAGCUAAAUGCGGAAGAGAUAAGUGCUGAAAGCAUCUAAGCACGAAACUUGCCCCGAGAUGAGUUCUCCCUGAGACUU